RNAcentral lists this non-coding RNA (159 nucleotides) under uncultured Symbiodinium. The record is from RNAcentral. Lineage: Eukaryota; Dinophyceae; Suessiales; Symbiodiniaceae.
AUGCCCCUGGGUCUGCAACUCGAAGAGGUGGAGAUUGAAGGGAUCGGCAGGGUGAUCCAGGUGACAGAUAUCGUGGAGGGCAGCUCCGCCUUCAAUGAUGGCAGCAUCCGUAAGGGUGACUUCCUUCGUGCCGUGACGACCCCGCAGCGGAAGCUUAGC